UUAAAUUAAAAAUGCACAUAUACUAAAAUUGGAAUGAUACAGAGAUUAGCAUGGCCCCUGUUCAAGGAUGACAAGCAAAUUUGUGAAGCGUUCCAUAUUUUU
Molecule: small nuclear RNA, 102 nt
Filed under: Moschus moschiferus (Siberian musk deer)
Lineage: Eukaryota; Metazoa; Chordata; Mammalia; Artiodactyla; Moschidae
Source: RNAcentral